This 720-nucleotide ribosomal RNA is filed under the name uncultured eukaryote. RNAcentral describes it as "SSU rRNA". It matches the Rfam family "Eukaryotic small subunit ribosomal RNA", at positions 677 to 1426 of the family's 1831-position model. The record is from RNAcentral.
CGUGUGCAGCGGCGUCCUCUCAUCCUUCUGUUAACGUUUCUUGGUAUUCAGUUACUGGUUUCGGGCUCAGAUAUUUUACCUUGAGAAAAUUAGAGUGUUCCAGGCAGGCUUGCGCCGGAAUACAUUAGCAUGGAAUAAUAGAAUAGGACUUUAGUCUCCUUUGUUGGUUUGAGGGACUGAAGUAAUGAUUAAUAGGGAUAGUUGGGGGCAUUAGUAUUUAAUUGUCAGAGGUGAAAUUCUCGGAUUUGUUAAAGACUAACUUAUGCGAAAGCAUUUGCCAAGGAUGUUUUCAUUAAUCAAGAACGAAAGUUAGGGGAUCAGAGACGAUCAGAUACCGUCCUAGUCUUAACCAUAAACUAUGCCGACUAGGGAUCGGAGGCGCGCCUUAUCCGCCUUCGGCACCUUAUGAGAAAUCAAAGUCUUUGGGUUCCGGGGGGAGUAUGGUCGCAAGGCUGAAACUUAAAGGAAUUGACGGAAGGGCACCACCAGGAGUGGAGCCUGCGGCUUAAUUUGACUCAACACGGGGAAACUCACCAGGUCCAGACAUAACUAGGAUUGACAGAUUGAUAGCUCUUUCAUGAUUUUAUGGGUGGUGGUGCAUGGCCGUUCUUAGUUGGUGGAGUGAUUUGUCUGGUUAAUUCCGAUAACGAACGAGACCUUAACCUGCUAAAUAGCCAGGCCGGCUUUUGCUGGUCGCCGGCUUCUUAGAGGGACUGUCUG